UGGAAAAAGUAUGUGAACCCUUGGAUUUAAUAACUGGUUGAACCUCCUUUGGCAGCAAUAACUUCAACCAAACGUUUCCUGUAGUUGCAGAUCAGACGUGCACAACGGUCAGGAGUAAUUCUUGACCAUUCCUCUUUACAGAACUGUUUCAGUUCAGCAAUAUUCUUGGGAUGUCGGGUGUGAAUCGCUUUCUUGAGGUCAUGCC
Molecule: non-coding RNA, 205 nt
Organism: Pelobates cultripes (western spadefoot toad)
Lineage: Eukaryota; Metazoa; Chordata; Amphibia; Anura; Pelobatidae
Source: the annotation of a GenBank genome assembly